RNAcentral lists this ribosomal RNA (711 nucleotides) under Triticum aestivum (bread wheat). RNAcentral's name for it is "partial small subunit ribosomal RNA". The record is from RNAcentral. Lineage: Eukaryota; Viridiplantae; Streptophyta; Magnoliopsida; Poales; Poaceae.
AUGACGGGCAAGGAUUUUUGCGAGUACGUAAAUAAGUACGCAAAGGUGGGACAGGAGGAGGAGGAAGGAAUCCAUAUUAUACCACGCAACCCUGAUCAAUCAAAGCACUUGGAAACUGCUAAGAUGAAAAUUUUCCUAAAAGUUAUUGAUUUUGUUAACUUGAGGUCUGAAAAAUAUGUUGGGAGCAGCCGUAUCCCUACCAUGAAGUUUGGCACAGCGGAAGAAGAUGCAUACCGUAGGGACCUAACAAUGAAUAGUUUAUUCUUCAACAUCAACAAUAACUCUGUGGAAGAUUUUACUCUAAGAGGUAUUGAUGACCUCAAAAAGGGCCUUAUUGCCACUCCUUUACCUGCCAAAGGUACCUUCUUGGAUGACCCACUUAGAGUUCUUCGAGCAAUUCGAUUUGCUGCAAGAUUCAACUUUACAUUAUCUAAUGAGUUGAAGGAAGCUGCUUCGGAUGAAAAUGUGAAAUUGGGACUUGGUUGCAAGAUUAGCAGAGAACGUAUUGGCAAGGAGAUUAAUCUUAUGAUGUCAGGCAAACACCCAGUUGAAGCAAUGUCUCUUAUCCGUGAUUUGGGGCUAUUUGACGUUAUAUUUGCUUUCCCUAAAACAUCCGAUUCUCCAGGUUUUGACAACUGUGAUCGGUGUUGCGUUUCACACAUUGAAGCAGCUUGGAACCUUGCAAUUUUUAUUUGCAAUGAUUUAUCAUAG